RNAcentral lists this transfer RNA (76 nucleotides) under Chromobacterium violaceum. RNAcentral describes it as "tRNA-Gln". It matches the Rfam family "tRNA". From Rfam's summary of the family: Transfer RNA (tRNA) molecules are approximately 80 nucleotides in length. The record is from RNAcentral. RNAcentral also lists the same sequence under 4 other names. Lineage: Bacteria; Pseudomonadati; Pseudomonadota; Betaproteobacteria; Neisseriales; Chromobacteriaceae.
UGGCGGUUAGCUCAGUUGGUAGAGCAUCGGAUUUUGAUUCCGAGGGUCACAGGUUCGAGCCCUGUAUCGCCUGCCA